Molecule: ribosomal RNA, 252 nt
Filed under: uncultured bacterium
Lineage: Bacteria
Description: partial 16S ribosomal RNA
Rfam family: Bacterial small subunit ribosomal RNA
Source: RNAcentral
UACGUAGGUCCCGAGCGUUGUCCGGAUUCAUUGGGCGUAAAGCGAGCGCAGGUGGUUUAUUAAGUCUGGUGUAAAAGGCAGUGGCUCAACCAUUGUAUGCAUUGGAAACUGGUAGACUUGAGUGCAGGAGAGGAGAGUGGAAUUCCAUGUGUAGCGGUGAAAUGCGCAGAUAUAUGGAGGAACACCGGUGGCGAAAGCGGCUCUCUGGCCUGUAACUGACACUGAGGCUCGAAAGCGUGGGGAGCAAACAGG